Molecule: long non-coding RNA, 163 nt
Organism: Papaver somniferum (opium poppy)
Lineage: Eukaryota; Viridiplantae; Streptophyta; Magnoliopsida; Ranunculales; Papaveraceae
Exons: 3
Source: RefSeq, a predicted model, not a curated record
GAGAUUUCUUCUGGGAUGUUUCAGUGGUAUAUUUGGACCAGUUCAGGCUUAUGCUGUCGAAGUUUGCCGAGAAGAAUAUCGGACUUUGGCACUUUCAGUUACGAGUUCGGCGUGGGCAAUAGGUUUGAUAGUUGGACUUGUUGUUGGAGGUUUCCUUGCAAAG